UUCAGGGAAAAACUGUGUUAAACGUAAAAAUUAAAUUUAUUUUAAUUUGUGAAGAAACAAUUAUUUAAAUUAAGGACAAGAAGACCCUAAGAAUUUUAAAGAUAAUAAUUUUAAUAUUAAAAUUAUUAUCUUUUGGUUGGGGCAACUAAAAAAGAUUAUAAACUUUUUAUUUAAUAAAAUGACCCAUUAUUAAUGAUAAUUUGAUAAAAAUACUCUAGGGAUAACAGCGUAAUAAUUUUUGAUAGAACAUAUAGACAAAAUAGUUUGCGACCUCGAUGUUGGAUUAGGAUACUUUUUUAAUGAAGAUGUUAAAAAAAGAAGUUUGUUCAACUUUUAAAGUCCU
This 343-nucleotide ribosomal RNA is filed under the name Dermacentor andersoni. Its description in RNAcentral is "partial 16S ribosomal RNA". The stretch from base 220 to 343 matches the Rfam family "Bacterial large subunit ribosomal RNA", at positions 2473 to 2597 of the family's 2925-position model. The record is from RNAcentral. Lineage: Eukaryota; Metazoa; Arthropoda; Arachnida; Ixodida; Ixodidae.